CUGAACCAUUGGUGGUCGGAGGUGCUGCCAAGCCCGAGGCCCAGUAGUGUCUGCUCUCUGCUCAGAAUAGAAGGAGGAUGCGCUGACUCUGUGGAAUCAGAUAAAUUUGAGUUAAAAUCUCAGCUCUCCACAUAGAAUCUGUGUGACCUUUGGGAUGUAGACAAGACCGGGGAAAAGCAAUGUGCAGUAACCAGAGCUCUUCUGACUGCAGCAUUUGAACUUACUGCUCUCUUGCCGGACUCCUCUGCUCAGUAAUAUCCAUCCAAAUUGUUAAGUUGUCUUUCGACUGGCAUCUAAAGUUAAGAUCCAAAGUCUGUGACAAAUGAAUUGAGUUUUAAUUUUAAAACCCUAAUCAAGUUUCUUUGACUUUCCUAAGUAGCAGAUGAUUCUAACCAAAGGCUACAUAGAAAAGAAGAGGAAACAAAGGCAACAAUUUGGGAUUCUCUUGCUGACUUUAUCCUUCUUGACCUGGAGAAAAGAAAAGAGAUAGAAAGGAAGAAGAAAGAUGGACGAUUCAUUUGCUCUCUCUCCUUUGGCUCACUUAGCAUUGAUGAAGGAAAGGAGUGUUCCGUGGGUGGUCCAAGAAUUCUGAACAGCCCUGGGCUGUAGGGCAGACAAAGGAUAGUAGUGUUUCUCCUUCUGAAACUCUCAGGCAGAAGUGUCUGGUGAAGCUUCCCCAUUUUGAUUUGGCUUGUUUGGAUCUGAUGUGGACUCAAUAGAGUAGCUAUGAAGAACAGAAUCUUGGACUGCUGUAGGUUCCAGAUUCACCUACGGUUGUGGGGGCAUCUUAACCUCUCCAAUCUGUCUGUGGGACUCUGUCUUUGUGCUUUGGGUCCGUAACUUAAGAGAUGGUCCUUACAUAAUAUCGCAGAUAAUUUUGAGUUUCAUCUCAACUUCAAACAUAUGCUUUACACUUUUAAUUAAUACCCUAUAACAACAAUUAUUUGUUUAGCUGAACCACCAUUUCUCUUUCCUACCUCCCAUUACAGAGGCUGUAAAAGCAAGCUACUUGUUUUCCAGCCUUUCAGUUCAGCUAAAAGACUUAAGGAGAAGUCUCCUGAGAGGCUCUAGGAGAGUUUUUCCCUCACUGAUACAUGAAAGGGAAAAUAUUAAGACAAGGCCUCUUUGAGGCAACAGACAUUAGGAUGAAAAGUCUAAAUAUCAAGUAUGGCAGAGCGAAGAUUGAAAAGAGCUGCAAUCCUUGAAGACUGACCACCUGAAUUAAAGUUACCUACUGCCAAUCUCCAACCUUUUUGUUAUGUGAGGAAAAUAAAUCCCUAUUUGUUUAUACUUACCCACAUAUUUACCAUUUACAGUAUUCUUCAUUCCUUUGUGUAGAUAUCAUUUUCCUUCUGUCCAAAAGACUUCCUUUAAUGUUUUUUGUAUGCACGUCUACUAGUGACAAAGUUUUUCGGCUUUCUAUGUCUGAAAAAGUCUUCAUUUUCCUUUCGUUUUUGAAAGGUGUUUUCACUGGGCAUAGAAUUCUAGGUUGACGGUAUUUUUCUUUCAGAACUUUAAAGAUAUCACUCUACCAAUUUCAUUCACUCUACCAACUUUCAUUGUGUCCAAUGAGGAGUCUGAUGUUAUUCUUAUCUUUGUUCCUCCAUAUGUAAAGCUUUAUUUUUCUUUGGCAGCUCUUAAGGUUUUCUUCUUGUUACUGGUUUUAAGGAAUUUGAUUAUCAUGUGCUUUGGUAUAGUUUUCAUUAUGUUACUUGUACUUGGGGUUUGUUGAGCUUCUUGGAUCUGUGCCUUUCUGGUUUUCACCAACUUUAGAGAAAUCUUGGCUUUUAUUUCUGCAGUUUUUUCUGCCCCCUACCCCUCCAUUCUCUCUUUCCUUCAGGGCUUCUAAAUACACAGGUAUUAGGCGGCUGGAAGUGGUCCCAAACCUAUUUCUUUACGUGUUCAUUUCCUCCCCAAAGCCCCAGUACGUAGUUGUAUAUUCUAGUUGUAAGUCCUUCUAGUUCUUCUGUGUGAGCCACUGCCAUGGCAUGGCUACUGACAGACGAUUGGUGUGGUUCUGAACCUGUGGAGCUGAACCCAGGACACUGAAGUGGAGCAUGCUGAACCUUAACCACUAGGCCCUCAGAGCUGCCUCUGUUUAUUUUGUUUUUAAGCUUAUUUCUCUCUGUGUGUCAUUUUCGAUAGUUUUCAGGUUCACUUCAAGUUCUUCAGUGUCUAAUCUGCUGUUAAUCCCAUCCAGUGUAUUUUUCAUCUCAGACAUUAUGCUUUUCAUUUCUAGAUAUUCUAUUUGGGUCUCCUUUUUAAUCUUCUGUGUUUCUAUUUAACAUGAUUAUGUUUUUCUCUACUUUCUUAAGCUUGUGGAAUAUAGUUAUAAUAAUCACUUUAAUAAUCAUAUUUACUAAUUCUAUCAUCUAUAUAAUUUCUUGUUGGCUUUCAAUGAAUUGAUUAUUUUCCUCAUUAUGGGCUAUAUUUUCCCUGCUUCUUUGCAUGGCUGGCAAUUUUUGAAUUAAAUGCCAGACAUUGUAAAUUUUUUCUUGUUCGCUGCUGGAUAUUCUUGUUUAAAAUUUUUUUUCUGGGGGCUGGCCCAGUGG
Molecule: long non-coding RNA, 2552 nt
Organism: Equus caballus (horse)
Lineage: Eukaryota; Metazoa; Chordata; Mammalia; Perissodactyla; Equidae
Source: Ensembl